RNAcentral lists this ribosomal RNA (964 nucleotides) under Gymnodinium aureolum. Its description in RNAcentral is "eukaryotic LSU rRNA". It matches the Rfam family "Eukaryotic large subunit ribosomal RNA", at positions 56 to 930 of the family's 3401-position model. The record is from RNAcentral. Lineage: Eukaryota; Dinophyceae; Gymnodiniales; Gymnodiniaceae.
GAACUAAAAAGGAUUCCCUUAGUAAUGGCGAAUGAACAGGGAUGAGCUCAAUAUGGAAAUUGUGGCUUCUGGCUUUGAAUUGUAAUCUCAAGAUGCAUUGCUAACUGGGGCGUAGGUGAAAGCCUCUUGGAAAAGAGAAUCAUUGAGGGUGAGAAUCCUGUUUGUCAUCUACAGUCCUCCGUGUACGGCAUGCGUUCUAAGAGUCACGUUCCUCGGGAUUGGAGCGCAAACUGGGUGGUAAAUUUCAUCUUAAGCUAAAUAAGGGUUCGAGACCGAUAGCAAACAAGUACCAUGAGGGAAAGAUGAAAAGGACUUUGAAAAGAGAGUUAAAAGUGCCUGAACUUGCUGAAAGGAAAGCGGAUGGAACCAGUGUUGCUUGGCGAGAUUGUUGCGUGCGAAAGUGAUUGCUUGCUGCAUCAGCGCAAGCGGUGCUGUGGGUUUUGAUCUGGCUGUGCGCGAUGCUUCUUGCCUCGUGUGUCAUCGUCAGUGUGCUGGUGAGGACAACUCUUGGGACAUGGUAGCCUGCCCCUGGGCGUGCGAAUGUGCCUUGCAGAACUCACUGUCAUAUUGCUCCUCCACAUGUGAGGUCGUGCUGCCUUUCUUUGGCACCUGUGUUGGCGUUUGUGCCUGGCCUAGGUGUCGUUUGCUGAGCACCUUCCUGACAUAGCCAUGGUGACUAAAUGGUUCUAUUCGACCCGUCUUGAAACACGGACCAAGGAGUCUAACAUGUGUGCGAGUUCUUGGGCGGCGAAACCUACGUGCGCAAUGAAAGUGAUUACUGAGAUGCUAGCAUCAGCAGCCGACCGAUCAAUUGGGAGAGGUUUGAGCAUGAGCAUAUCUGUUAGGACCCGAAAGAUGGUGAACUAUGCUUGUGAAGGGUGAAGUCUGGGGAAACUCAGAUGGAGGCUCGUAGCGAUACUGACGUGCAAAUUCGUUCGUCAUACAUGGGUAUAGGGGCGAAAGA